AUCCUAUUCCGUUGUGACAUAACUAAUCUAAAAGUGAUUAAUCUAUUCGUCCAGCACAGUAUUAUUCCAAGAAUAAUAUUUUCGGAAUGUCUCUGCAGUUCGCGACCAUUCGCGACCGCCAUUGUGCUCAAGUCGUCAGAACCAAGGCCUUCUGUCAGAGAACCGAGCAAGCGUCCCAGUCCUCGAAGGUGUAGACUGACUUGGGAAUGAUCAUGGGGCUCGAGGAGGACGUGAAGGAGCAUGUCCUGCACAAAAUCAGACAUACCGCGAAGAAGUACUCGUAUGCCCAGACGAUGAUAAACGUGGAGUCGGCCGACAAAGACGACGACGAGCUGCUAGCUCUACUUGCCUAUGGUUGUGGAACAACCAUUGGCACCUUGGCGGAUCCGAGAAACGGGGUUCGUCAGGCAGGUGAGGAACUAUCGGUGGACGGUGUGGUGGUCUGCCAACUGCCGGCCACCAGGUUGGAGACCGCGUGGCCCUAAUGACGGCCGCCCACGC
RNAcentral lists this long non-coding RNA (501 nucleotides) under Amphibalanus amphitrite. Its description in RNAcentral is "uncharacterized LOC122368733". The record is from RNAcentral. Lineage: Eukaryota; Metazoa; Arthropoda; Thecostraca; Balanomorpha; Balanidae.